This 980-nucleotide long non-coding RNA is filed under the name Elaeis guineensis (African oil palm). RNAcentral describes it as "long non-coding RNA (EGUI_LNC063815)". Lineage: Eukaryota; Viridiplantae; Streptophyta; Magnoliopsida; Arecales; Arecaceae. The record is from RNAcentral.
CGGGUGUUUUGGAUAUGAUGGAUUAUGUAUGGAGGUUGUGAGUAGGUUAAUAUAAAAUCGAUCACUCUUGGUAAGAAGAGAUCGCAUCCUACUUGCUCUAAUCAAGUGAUGAUUCAAGGAGACUUUAAUCAAAGCAGAAUAAAAAUUAGAAAGAGUUUUUAAUAUUUUAUUAAUCAAAUCAUCGUUAUAAGAUUGAGAGAGAUAUGAAUAUGAAAUUGAAUUUGACAGGAUUCCAUAUUCAUAGUCAUUUUCAGGAUACAAUAUGAUUGUAGGAUUUAAUUACACGAUAACUUACCAUUGAAAGAUAUUUUUGAUAUUUUUAUUAAAAUUUUAUAUCUUUCGGAUAGACAUGAUACGUUGCUAGACAUCUAUCUUGUCUUAUAGGUUUGAUCGAAUUAAAGAGUUUAAUUCGAUCGUCAAUUAAAAAAAAUUUAAUUAUUGAAAUCGGAUUAGCUCGAUUGGAUCUAAAUCGGUUAGAUUGAAUUUUAUUCAAAGUAGGUUAACUUACAUCUGGAUCUACUGCUGGCUAGAUAUAGAACUCAGUGGGUCACGUAUAAAAAAAAUUGAUUAAAGAUCUAACUAUUAGAUGUGUGGCCUAAAAGUCAAUUAUUGGCUAACACAUUAUAAUUUUCUAAGACAUAAGUUUUUACUUAAUUUAUUGAAAUUAAAAAUUAUAGAUAAUUAUUUUUUUCUAGAGUAUUGUGUCUUAGAAAUAUCCAAGAAGUUAAUGGUCAAUGACAUAUAUUCUCAAGAGUUAAGAAUUUAAGACAUGUGUCAUUAUAGAUUAAUUUCUAAACUACUUCCAGUCAAUGAUCAUCACGGGGAUGGUGAUUGAUCCAACUAGACUGUGUUGGAUUUUGGUGGCACAAUGGAAGGUCUAAAUAUUUUAAAUUUUUUAUUCAAAUCCUUAGGUACACUGAAACUCAAGAAUCCAAAAUCUUUUGACUAUAGCAAUCAAAGCAUAAUUAAAAUAAAUAUGG